CCACUGCUUCGCAUAAGCCUGGAAAACGAAGCUGUAGAGACCAAUGGACGCCUGUGAACUGUGGACCUUUCUGAACGUCUGCCUAUACAUUUUGCAUUACGCAACACUAUUCUCUAUUGGUGUUGUUUUAUCUGUGCAAGGUCAUCGCUUGUAUCUCGGUCCCUUAGGGACUGUAGGAGCAUGAGCAGGGUGAAGUCGUUGCUGACCGCGUGCUUCGUGUCAGGCGAGCAUACUCGUCGAAAAAGAUCUUCGUUGAAACGUCGUCAAUCUCAGAAGAAGGUACAGCUCGAACCCCAGUGCGCAGACCGAAAUUCGUCAGGUGGCAUCGCGAAGGAUUGCGACGGGCUUGCACGGACACCAAGCGCGCAGUCCUCUACAAAAAAUCUCAGCUAUGUUACUUCAUCCGAACGUUCUUCCCCUUCACGCGCCUCCA
RNAcentral lists this long non-coding RNA (433 nucleotides) under Volvox carteri. Its description in RNAcentral is "long non-coding RNA (VCAR_LNC003896)". Lineage: Eukaryota; Viridiplantae; Chlorophyta; Chlorophyceae; Chlamydomonadales; Volvocaceae. The record is from RNAcentral.